Pelmatolapia mariae (spotted tilapia) is the source of this 157-nucleotide long non-coding RNA. RefSeq lists it as uncharacterized. The transcript has 3 exons. Lineage: Eukaryota; Metazoa; Chordata; Actinopteri; Cichliformes; Cichlidae. The record is from RefSeq and is a predicted model, not a curated record.
CAUCACGGAGUUUCUCUCGGUUUGUGGGCUCAUCUAAAGCUGAUCAGCAGGAGGAGAAGAGUCUGACGGAGCAGCAGAGGAACAUUUUCAGCCAUCUGGACUCAGCUGAGUCACUACAGAGGAAACAAUGAGCUCAACACAGAAGGACCAACAUGGA